This 493-nucleotide ribosomal RNA is filed under the name uncultured bacterium. RNAcentral's name for it is "partial 16S ribosomal RNA". It matches the Rfam family "Bacterial small subunit ribosomal RNA", at positions 31 to 507 of the family's 1533-position model. The record is from RNAcentral.
GAACGCUGGCGGCGUGCCUAAUACAUGCAAGUCGAGCGAACAGACGAGGAGCUUGCUCCUCUGACGUUAGCGGCGGACGGGUGAGUAACACGUGGAUAACCUACCUAUAAGACUGGGAUAACUUCGGGAAACCGGAGCUAAUACCGGAUAAUAUAUUGAACCGCAUGGUUCAAUAGUGAAAGACGGUUUUGCUGUCACUUAUAGAUGGAUCCGCGCCGCAUUAGCUAGUUGGUAAGGUAACGGCUUACCAAGGCGACGAUGCGUAGCCGACCUGAGAGGGUGAUCGGCCACACUGGAACUGAGACACGGUCCAGACUCCUACGGGAGGCAGCAGUAGGGAAUCUUCCGCAAUGGGCGAAAGCCUGACGGAGCAACGCCGCGUGAGUGAUGAAGGUCUUCGGAUCGUAAAACUCUGUUAUUAGGGAAGAACAAAUGUGUAAGUACUAUGCACGCCUUGACGGUACCUAAUCAGAAAGCCACGGCUAACUACGUG